GCGCAGGUGGUGUAAUGGCGUAGAGCAUUCCCGCCCGGUUAGAGGGAGGUGCGGGUUCGAGUCCCGCCUGGCGCU
Non-coding RNA from Heligmosomoides polygyrus, 75 nucleotides. NCBI's taxonomy places the organism in Eukaryota, Metazoa, Nematoda, Chromadorea, Rhabditida, Heligmosomidae. The record is from Rfam.